AUGAUCCUUGGCGACUUUAAUGAAAUCACCAACAUGAGUGAAAAGGAAGGUGGUAAUAACCGGCCUGAUCACUAUAUGCGGGACUUUAGAGACUGUAUUGAUGACUGUGGGUUACAGGAAGUAAUGGUGAUAGGAGAUACAUUCACAUGGAGUCGUGGACCGAUCAGAGAGCGACUUGACAGGGCUCUAUGUAAUGAAAUGUGGGCAGAAAAAUUUCCUUUUGCAGGACUGGUACACGAACACCAUACCCACUCUGACCAUAGGCCUAUUCUGCUCGAUACGGAGUAUUUCAAACCGAUGUUGAUGCAGCAGCAGCAGUAG
RNAcentral lists this ribosomal RNA (321 nucleotides) under Triticum aestivum (bread wheat). Its description in RNAcentral is "partial small subunit ribosomal RNA". The record is from RNAcentral. Lineage: Eukaryota; Viridiplantae; Streptophyta; Magnoliopsida; Poales; Poaceae.